AUUGAACGCUGGCGGCAUGCCUUACACAUGCAAGUCGAACGGCAGCAUGGAGGAGCUUGCUCCUCUGAUGGCGAGUGGCGAACGGGUGAGUAAAGCAUCGGAACGUACCGUGUAGUGGGGGAUAACGUAGCGAAAGUUACGCUAAUACCGCAUACGCACUGAGGUGGAAAAGCAGGGGAUCGCAAGACCUUGCGCUAUACGAGCGGCCGAUGUCAGAUUAGCUAGUUGGUAGGGUAAAGGCCUACCAAGGCGACGAUCUGUAGCGGGUCUGAGAGGAUGAUCCGCCACACUGGGACUGAGACACGGCCCAGACUCCUACGGGAGGCAGCAGUGGGGAAUUUUGGACAAUGGGGGAAACCCUGAUCCAGCCAUGCCGCGUGAGUGAAGAAGGCCU
This 394-nucleotide ribosomal RNA is filed under the name uncultured bacterium. RNAcentral describes it as "bacterial SSU rRNA". It matches the Rfam family "Bacterial small subunit ribosomal RNA", at positions 30 to 417 of the family's 1533-position model. The record is from RNAcentral.